AAUCUACCUUCAACACUGGGAUAACUCCGGGAAACCGGGGCUAAUACCGGAUACGAGAACCGCAGGCAUCUGUGGCUCUGGAAAGUUUUUCGGUUGAAGAUGACCUUGCGGCCUAUCAGCUUGUUGGUGAGGUAAUGGCUCACCAAGGCGACGACGGGUAGCCGGCCUGAGAGGGCGACCGGCCACACUGGGACUGAGACACGGCCCAGACUCCUACGGGAGGCAGCAGUGGGGAAUAUUGGGCAAUGGAGGGAACUCUGACCCAGCGACGCCGCGUGCGG
This 281-nucleotide ribosomal RNA is filed under the name uncultured bacterium. RNAcentral's name for it is "partial 16S ribosomal RNA". It matches the Rfam family "Bacterial small subunit ribosomal RNA", at positions 123 to 406 of the family's 1533-position model. The record is from RNAcentral.